ACAUCGACGGCGGUGUUUGGCACCUCGAUGUCGGCUCAUCACAUCCUGGGGCUGAAGUCGGUCCCAAGGGUAUGGCUGUUCGCCAUUUAAAGUGGUACGCGAGCUGGGUUUAGAACGUCGUGAGACAGUUCGGUCCCUAUCUGCCGUGGGCGUUGGAGAUUUGAGAAGGGCUGCUCCUAGUACGAGAGGACCGGAGUGGACGCACCUCUGGUGUUCCGGUUGUCACGCCAGUGGCAUUGCCGGGUAGCUAUGUGCGGACGGGAUAACCGCUGAAAGCAUCUAAGCGGGAAGCCCCCUUCAAGAUGAGAUCUCCCCGAGGCCUCGAGCCUCCUGAAGGGCCCAGCGAGACCAGCUGGUUGAUAGGCACGGUGUGGAAGCGCUGCAAGGCGUUGAGCUAACGUGUACUAAUGGCCCGUGAGGCUUGACCAUAUAACACCCAAAGGGU
The sequence is a ribosomal RNA, 445 nucleotides long. It matches the Rfam family "Bacterial large subunit ribosomal RNA", at positions 2502 to 2925 of the family's 2925-position model.